RNAcentral lists this ribosomal RNA (406 nucleotides) under uncultured bacterium. Its description in RNAcentral is "partial 16S ribosomal RNA". It matches the Rfam family "Bacterial small subunit ribosomal RNA", at positions 30 to 526 of the family's 1533-position model. The record is from RNAcentral.
AUUGAACGCUGGCGGCAGGCCUAACACAUGCAAGUCGAACGCGUGGCGGACGGGUGAGUAAUGUCUGGGAAACUGCCUGAUGGAGGGGAAUAACUACUGGAAACGGUAGCUCAUACCGCAUACCAUCGGAUGUGCCCAGAGUGGAUUAGCUAGUAGGUGGGGGAAAUGCUGACCUCGGCGCAGAUCCCUCGCUGGUCUGAGAGGAGGACCAGCCACACUGGAACUGAGACACGGGCCAGACGCCUACGGUAGGCAGCAGUGGGGAAUAUUGCACAAUGGGCGAAAGCCUGAUGCAGCCAUGCCGCGUGUAUGAAGAAGGCCUUCGGGUUGUAAAGUACUUUCAGCGGGGAGGCGUUACCCGCAGAAGAAGCACCGGCUAACUCCGUGCCAGCAGCCGCGGUAAUAC